ACUUUCCUUUUUUCCGUUGCAUUGUUUCUGGGUUUUGAGGUCUUCUUGUACUUACUUGCCUGAAUGUUAUUUGUUCAUGAGCUUUUCGAACUUUCAAAAUGUCAAAGUUUCGAUCUUUUGGAUUUAGAUCUAGAUGUUACUCAAAUUGUUGAUGGUGUGUUAUGUUCAUUUUAUUUCUUGUUAGUUUUUCUAAUAAUAUCAAAUGUGAUGUUUCAACUACCUGCAAUCUAAUCAUCCAGACACAGGUCAAACUUGUUUUGGAGUUUAUUUUAUAGUUUACUAAGACAAGUCGAAAAGGUUCAUGUUUUUUAGAAACUAGUUAUGACUUUGAGGCUCUAAUGUUGUCAACAGAGACAUAUUCCCCCCCCCCCCCCCUCCCCUCCAGUAAAGGAGCUUUGGAUCGUCGCUUAUGGUUCACUUGUUUGGCUUAAGUUCCCUAUAUAGCAAAAUGUUGAUUGCUAAUACACGACACAUCCAUAGUGUCUUAUACAUAAUCCAGAUAGUGGUGGUGACCUGAAACUUCAUCUGGAGAAGUUAGUAGAAGCUGAAAUACGUUCAAGAUGUCAUCAAGAAGAAACAUUUUGAAAGCUAUUAAGGAACCAAGUGAAUCUUGGGAGUUUUAUAGAGAGGCCACUCAUGCAGACACAUACGCAUAUAAAAACUUCAUACUGUAGAGAAGAGAGGAUUGUUGCAAGAGCGUAGCUGAAAUGAGCAUGAUGUUGCUAUAACUUUGCUUACUUAUUGUUGUUGUUUCUGAAAGCAUAUGAUUUUGUCUGAUUAAUAACAAAUUACAGAAACAAGUGAUCUUCUUGAGCAAGAAUGGUGUACUUUUUUACUUACAAAAAUAUCUUACCAAACA
Raphanus sativus (radish) is the source of this 859-nucleotide long non-coding RNA. RefSeq lists it as uncharacterized. Lineage: Eukaryota; Viridiplantae; Streptophyta; Magnoliopsida; Brassicales; Brassicaceae. The record is from RefSeq and is a predicted model, not a curated record. The transcript is spliced from 2 exons.